CCUACGGGUGGCUGCAGUGGGGAAUAUUGGACAAUGGGGGAAACCCUGAUCCAGCCAUGCCGCGUGAGUGAUGAAGGCCUUAGGGUUGUAAAGCUCUUUUACCAGGGAAGAUGAUGACGGUACCUGGAGAAUAAGUUCCGGCUAACUUCGUGCCAGCAGCCGCGGUAAUACGAAGGGAACUAGCGUUGUUCGGAAUCACUGGGCGUAAAGCGCGCGUAGGCGGCUUUGCAAGUCAGAGGUGAAAUGCCAAGGCUUAACCUUGGAACUGCCUUUGA
This 275-nucleotide ribosomal RNA is filed under the name uncultured bacterium. RNAcentral describes it as "partial 16S ribosomal RNA". It matches the Rfam family "Bacterial small subunit ribosomal RNA", at positions 338 to 630 of the family's 1533-position model. The record is from RNAcentral.